UCGCGUAGACAAGGCUUAGACAUGUGUGUUGGACAAAAGCAGAGCAAUAGCGGCAGAAGUACUUAGUAAAGCAGCUUGAGUCGUUUCGGCCAGUAGUAGUUUCCUUUCUUUCAAUGCAAGUAAAGAAAAUAGUGUUUUUUAAGAGAAUGGUUCCUCUCUGAGGGAGCUGGUGAAUGUCAGAAGAGGCUGGUAGCAGGGAGGGACUGUCGGGAGUCCUUGAUGAUGUUAGCAGAAAAAGACUGCUUUGCUGCUUUGUGCUCUUCUUUUGUUUAAACUCGUCCUUUUUGUAUAAAACUCAAGACUUUUGUGAAGAGAAUAAUUUUUGUGAUGUUGGAACUUGCUAUGCACUUCUGGAUUGAACCAGGGCUUUUCUGAAGCAGAUGAGUUAUGUCAACUCAUGGGUCAUACUUAGCCUUUUUACCCUUAAGAUGAAAAAGAUUGAAAUCUGUGUUUUGUACAGCAGACGUUACUAAAGCAAGGAGAAAACUUGGUUCUUUUCCUGGGUUUUGGAAGAAAUCUGACAGUGGCUUGAGAGCAGGUUAUCUCACACCCUGAUGACAGAAAAGAUGCACAUUACUGCUCACUUAGCUGUUUGGAAGCAUUUGGGCUUGUGUGUUUCUGUACCAUCUCUGACAACCUAACAGAACCCAGAAUGGCUCCAGAAGAAGAUACUAUAGACUUGACCUGCUUCUACCAGGCUUCCAUCCUUGUGCCAUGGCUGGAAAAGGACCACGUGUAAGACUGACGACGUCCGCACCAAAGUGGAGCUUUCUUUAAAUGCCUCCAAGGUUGGAAACCAAAGACUGCUGCAAGAGCUCCCAUCAUCGUGCAGAGUAUCCAGAAAUGCUGUUCAUGUCAACACAAUUGGUCAAGAUUUCCAAGUCUCACUGUCAGCUCCAUGCAAAUGAGGCAUUCCUUGGCUACACAGUUGUUACCUUGGUGUAGUAAACAAUGAAGGAGCCAUAGUUGCCUUGAAAUUAACUGACCAUGCAAAGAAAGGCUGUAAUUCCCCCAAGCGGCAAAACGUUUUGGGAACCUGCUUGAAACACUCUGAAAGGGCUGGGGAAG
This is a non-coding RNA of Phalacrocorax carbo (great cormorant), 1068 nucleotides long. The record is from RefSeq and is a predicted model, not a curated record. NCBI's taxonomy places the organism in Eukaryota, Metazoa, Chordata, Aves, Suliformes, Phalacrocoracidae.